This 245-nucleotide ribosomal RNA is filed under the name uncultured bacterium. RNAcentral's name for it is "partial 16S ribosomal RNA". It matches the Rfam family "Bacterial small subunit ribosomal RNA", at positions 109 to 354 of the family's 1533-position model. The record is from RNAcentral.
AGUAACGCGUGAGGAACCUGCCUUUCAGAGGGGGACAACAGUUGGAAACGACUGCUAAUACCGCAUAACACAUAGGUGUCGCAUGGCAUUUAUGUCAAAGAUUUAUCGCUGAAAGAUGGCCUCGCGUCUGAUUAGCUAGUUGGUGAGGUAACGGCUCACCAAGGCGACGAUCGGUAGCCGGACUGAGAGGUUGGCCGGCCACAUUGGGACUGAGAUACGGCCCAGACUCCUACGGGAGGCAGCAG